CGGCCGCGUCGACCAUGGCUCAGAUUGAACGCUGGCGGCAGGCCUAACACAUGCAAGUCGAGCGGAUGAGUGGAGCUUGCUCCACGAUUCAGCGGCGGACGGGUGAGUAAUGCCUAGGAAUCUGCCUGGUAGUGGGGGGACAACGUUUCGAAAGGAACGCUAAUACCGCAUACGUCCUACGGGAGAAAGCAGGGGACCUUCGGGCCUUGCGCUAUCAGAUUAGCCUAGGUCGGAUUAGCUAGUUGGUGAGGUAAUGGCUCACCAAGGCUGCGAUCCGUAACUGGUCUGAGAGGAUGAUCAGUCACACUGGAACUGAGACACGGUCCAGACUCCUACGGGAGGCAGCAGUGGGGAAUAUUGGACAAUGGGCGAAAGCCUGAUCCAGCCAUGCCGCGUGUGUAGAAGAAGGUCCUUUUGGUUGUAAAGCACUUUAAGCAGUGAAGAAGACUCCAUGGUUAAUACCCAUGGACGAUGACAUUAGCUGCAGAAUAACGCACCGGCUAACUCUGG
RNAcentral lists this ribosomal RNA (510 nucleotides) under uncultured bacterium. RNAcentral's name for it is "bacterial SSU rRNA". It matches the Rfam family "Bacterial small subunit ribosomal RNA", at positions 1 to 506 of the family's 1533-position model. The record is from RNAcentral.